CAGGAACAGAAAUGUUGAGAAGGGUAGACUGAUGACUACCCCUCAGUGGAAACAGACCAGAUCUCAGCUUAUCUGGCUGGAAGGAAAGCAAAAAAACAAAGCAAAACCAACCAAAAAAUCCUAAGAAACAAAAGACAGAUUCAAGCCAAUCUGUGAUUUGUAAAAUAAGCCAGGUGCAGGCUUGUGUGCCUUCAGCUGAAUGUAAGAAGUCCAGCUAUCAUGAAGUCUCCAUGUGGACAGACAAUUCAGAGGAAUGAGAGAGAGAGAGACCUGAGCAGCUAGCAGUGCCAGCACCUAGAUGUUUGAAUCUUCCCAGCCCAGAUACAUGAUGGAAAAAACUUCAAGAUGCCCAUUGGACAGCAACCACAUGAAAGACCUGGAGUGAGAACUCCUAAGCUGAGAUCUCACUCUUUCAGACUCCAGAGCCAAAUAAAUAAUUAUUAAUGUUUAAGCCACUGUUUUGGUGUGGCAACAAUAAAGGCCUGGAACAGGGUGAUACGGGAAGGUUUCUUUGAGGAUAUGAUGCUUAUGCUGAAGACCUCAGUAUCAUGAAGGAGCCAGGGGAGAAAGAACAUUCUGGGCAAAGGAAAUGGUGGGAAGAUCCUAAGUCAGAAGUGGAUUUAGCAAGUUCAAGGAAGGAAAGCAGGCCAGUGAGGCUGAAAUGCAACCCAAUACUGGGCCACAUGGUGACUUGGAUUUUUAAGGGUUACACACAUGAGGCAACUACAAUCCAGAGGAAUUUGUGACUAUCCUCAGAGGCCACAGCCAUUGAUGCCUCUUUCACUCUGCCCAUUAUGUCCCACUGAACAGCUUGGGUGUCAGAGCCAGCCAUUUUGCUCUGUGAGGAAGUAAUUUUGCAGUUAAAUUGGACCUGGUUGCAUUUUCUAGUCUCUGCUUUCUCCAAAUAUCCCAGUACUUAGUUUUUGCUCUGGUUGAAAAAAAAAAAAAAAAAAAAAAAAAAAAAAAAAAAAAACCUACACUAAUGGAUUAAACAACCAUUUGGAAAAGACAGGAUUUUUUCUUAAACUUUUUUGAGGUAAUUUUGGAAAGGAUCAUUCAAAUUAACGUAUGUGAAGCACCUAACAUAACAGACCCUUGGUAAAUGGUAGCAAAGAAGAUUGUGAUCAUUAGGAGCUCCUGAGAGAGGGCAGGUGCCACAGGAAGGGAUUGGACCAGAUCAACAUUUCAGUGUCUUCUGAGGAUUAUAAUUUCUGGAAGUUGCUCCCAGAUGGGGGACAACUUUCAACCUACGGUCAAAUAAAUAUUGCUUAGAAACUCUCA
RNAcentral lists this long non-coding RNA (1281 nucleotides) under Homo sapiens (human). RNAcentral describes it as "HSALNT0362133". The record is from RNAcentral. Lineage: Eukaryota; Metazoa; Chordata; Mammalia; Primates; Hominidae.